RNAcentral lists this ribosomal RNA (468 nucleotides) under uncultured bacterium. RNAcentral describes it as "partial 16S ribosomal RNA". It matches the Rfam family "Bacterial small subunit ribosomal RNA", at positions 28 to 507 of the family's 1533-position model. The record is from RNAcentral.
GACGAACGCUGGCGGCGUGCUUAACACAUGCAAGUCGAACGGAAAGGCCCUGCUUUUGUGGGGUGCUCGAGUGGCGAACGGGUGAGUAACACGUGAGUAACCUGCCCUUGACUUUGGGAUAACUUCAGGAAACUGGGGCUAAUACCGGAUAGGAGCUCCUGCUGCAUGGUGGGGGUUGGAAAGUUUCGGCGGUUGGGGAUGGACUCGCGGCUUAUCAGCUGGUUGGUGGGGUAGUGGCGUACCAAGGCUUUGACGGGUAGCCGGCCUGAGAGGGUGACCGGCCUCAUUGGGCCUGCGAUACGGCCCAGACUCCUACCGGAGGCAGCAGUGGGGAAUAUUGCACAAUGGGCGGACGCCUGAUGCAGCAACGCCGCGUGCGGGAUGACGGCCUUCGGGUUGUAAACCACUUUCGCCUGUAACGAAGCGUGCGUGACGGUAAUGGGUAAAGAAGCCCCGGCUAACUACGUG